Molecule: non-coding RNA, 226 nt
Filed under: Brevibacillus panacihumi
Lineage: Bacteria; Bacillati; Bacillota; Bacilli; Caryophanales; Paenibacillaceae
Description: T-box sequence
Rfam family: T-box leader
About the family: Uncharged tRNA acts as the effector for transcription antitermination of genes in the T-box leader family. T-boxes are found upstream of many aminoacyl-tRNA synthetase genes and some amino acid biosynthetic genes usually in Gram-positive bacteria.
Source: RNAcentral
CGAAACGCAAUGAUCGGGAGUAGUAAGGAUACCUAUCGUCCAGAGAACUGUCGGUUCGGUGCGAGACAGUCGAUAGCUUCCCCAACUCACCCAUGAGCGGUAAGACUGAAUCCAGUAGGUCUUAACGGAUCACCCCCGUAAUCAGGUAAAAGAAGGUUCGUUUAUUUUCUCAAACCAACGAACGAAAAAGAGUGGUACCGCGAAGGCAAAACCUAUCGCCUCUUUG